GUCCAGGUAAAGCUCACGGAGGAGGUGGUCACGCGGUGGUCAGUGACGGGGCCCGUCCUGGCACCAGCACCCAGGCACCCGGGACAGUCCGUGGAGCUACUCAGUCCAGCCUCAUGCAGGUGGAAGGUCACUUUGGGUUUACCACUGCACGUCUUACAGCAAAACAUUCACUGUAGCCUGUGGCUCAAAGGCAAAGGAUUCGAGGAUGGUGGCAGUGGACACAGAGGAGUAGGAAGCUGCAGGAAGUCAUCUCACCACGGAAUGAACAACUGAACUGUGUUAGGCAACUAUUCCCGGACUCUGGAGCCUAGUAGACCAUGCAGUCUCCAGGGGAAGCUGGAUGAAGAAACUCCAGUCCAUUUUAGUCCAUUUAGCCCCCACCAAAUAGUGGGGAUGUUUGCUCAACCUUGCAAAUUAUAUUAAUAAACCAUUCAGUUGUGCCCUCGAAAUGGGUGAGUCGUACAGUGUGCAAAUUGUAUCCCAAUAAGCUGUCACGUUAUCAAAAGCAAAGGGUUCACAGUCAGGGCAUCUGCUUUAGGGCAGCGUAUGACCUGGGCGGGGAGGGGGGAGGGGGGGACAGAGAAGCAGGGCCACACAGUGUUCGCUGAGAUGGUCCGCUCACCUCCAGACUGAGGCAGCGUCACAGGCCACCAGGUCCCCAGCGACCAUGAUCUACCUGGGAGUGUCCCCGCAGAGACCAGGCCGGCCUGCAAGAAGUCUGCUGAAUAGGAACAUAAAUAAAACAAGUGACUUUUUCACCGGUGCUGGGUCAAUGCUACAAAGCCGGUUCUGCUGGGAAUGGCUGCUGGCACAUUUUGAAAGAAGGACGGGCCCGGGGCCAGAGAUCAUGGUGCGGGGGGAUGAUGCUGACCUUGGCCUCCUUGGCCUCCUUGGCCUGGGCAGAGCACACGGCUGACGUCCACCUGUGCAUCCCGCCACUCUCCUAAAGGGGCUGCAACCAGCACCAAGGCCGUGUUAGACUCUGUUAUCACAGAAAGCAGUGCAGGUGGGCCUCCCCCUCCUCUGAUUAAUGU
RNAcentral lists this long non-coding RNA (1034 nucleotides) under Canis lupus familiaris (dog). RNAcentral describes it as "lncRNA (ENSCAFG00845026730.1)". Lineage: Eukaryota; Metazoa; Chordata; Mammalia; Carnivora; Canidae. The record is from RNAcentral.